AUUGAACGCUGGCGGCAGGCCUAACACAUGCAAGUCGAACGAGUGGCGGACGGGUGAGUAAUGUCUGGUAAAUUGCCUGCUGGAGGGGGAUAACUACUGGAACCGGUAUCUAAUACCGCAUACCCUCAGAUGUUCCCAGCUGGGAUUGGCUAGUAGGUGGGGUAAUGGCUCACCUAGGCGACGAUCCCUAGCUGGUCUGAGAGGAUGACAAGCCAAACUGGAACUGAGACACGGGCCAGACUCCUACGGGAGGCAGCAGGGGGGAAUAUUGCACAAUGGGCGCAAGACUGAUGCAGCCAUGCCGCGUGUGUGAAGAAGGCCUUCGGGUUGUAAAGCACUUUCAGCGAGGAGGCGUUACUCGCAGAAGAAGCACCGGCUAACUCCGUGCCAGCAGCCGCGGUAAUAC
RNAcentral lists this ribosomal RNA (406 nucleotides) under uncultured bacterium. Its description in RNAcentral is "partial 16S ribosomal RNA". It matches the Rfam family "Bacterial small subunit ribosomal RNA", at positions 30 to 526 of the family's 1533-position model. The record is from RNAcentral.